This 433-nucleotide unclassified non-coding RNA is filed under the name soil metagenome. RNAcentral's name for it is "partial contains 5.8S ribosomal RNA, internal transcribed spacer 2, and large subunit ribosomal RNA". The stretch from base 1 to 120 matches the Rfam family "5.8S ribosomal RNA", at positions 35 to 154 of the family's 154-position model. The record is from RNAcentral.
GAUGAAGAACGUAGCGAAAUGCGAUACGUAAUGUGAAUUGCAGAAUUCAGUGAAUCAUCGAAUCUUUGAACGCAUAUUGCGCUCUCUGGUAUUCCGGAGAGCAUGCUUGUUUGAGUAUCAGUAAACACCUCAACUUCCAUAUCUUUUUUGAAAUGGGAGUUGGACUUGAGUGAUCCCAAAGCUUUUCCUCACCGAAAAGUGGCGGGUUACUUGAAAUGCAGGUGCAGCUGGACUUUUCUCUGAGCUAUAAGCAUAUCUAUUUAGUCUGCCUAAAAAACAGAUUAUUACCUUUGCUGCAGCUAACAUAAAGGAGAUUAGUUCUUGUGCUGACUGAUGCAGGAUUCACAAAGACAGGCUUCGGCCGACUUUGUAAACUCGAUCUCAAAUCAAGUAAGACUACCCGCUGAACUUAAGCAUAUCAAUAAGCGGAGGA